Molecule: long non-coding RNA, 273 nt
Organism: Tyto alba (common barn owl)
Lineage: Eukaryota; Metazoa; Chordata; Aves; Strigiformes; Tytonidae
Exons: 2
Source: RefSeq, a predicted model, not a curated record
CCCGUCGAUUGGCAAAACAGGCAGGCAGAAAUUUUUUUGUGUGGCCUCCCCGGGAACAGCCGGUUGUGUUUCCUCCCGUUAGUUUUUUCUUGCAGGUGAAGAGGAAGGCGGCAACUGCAGGAAAGUGCUAGUUAGCUGCCGUGCUGCUUUUGUCGAGGAUGGAAUCGGACCUCCGUCCCUCUGAAAGCUAAGUCGAGCGAACGGGGCCGAGAGGAGGGGCCGAGGUUGGGAAUUGCAGGGAAGUGUUUGAAAGUUAGCACGGGGAGAAGGCUG